Molecule: ribosomal RNA, 467 nt
Filed under: uncultured Comamonadaceae bacterium
Lineage: Bacteria; Pseudomonadati; Pseudomonadota; Betaproteobacteria; Burkholderiales; Comamonadaceae
Description: bacterial SSU rRNA
Rfam family: Bacterial small subunit ribosomal RNA
Source: RNAcentral
ACCUACGGGAGGCAGCAGUGGGGAAUUUUGGACAAUGGGCGCAAGCCUGAUCCAGCCAUUCCGCGUGCAGGACGAAGGCCUUCGGGUUGUAAACUGCUUUUGUACGGAACGAAAAGGCUCUGGCUAAUACCUGGGGCUCAUGACGGUACCGUAAGAAUAAGCACCGGCUAACUACGUGCCAGCAGCCGCGGUAAUACGUAGGGUGCAAGCGUUAAUCGGAAUUACUGGGCGUAAAGCGUGCGCAGGCGGUUAUGUAAGACAGGCGUGAAAUCCCCGGGCUCAACCUGGGAACUGCGCUUGUGACUGCAAGGCUAGAGUAUGGCAGAGGGGGGUGGAAUUCCACGUGUAGCAGUGAAAUGCGUAGAGAUGUGGAGGAACACCGAUGGCGAAGGCAGCCCCCUGGGCCAAUACUGACGCUCAUGCACGAAAGCGUGGGUAGCAAACAGGAUUAGAUACCCUAGUAGUCG